GAAAUCACUCUUUUAAAUUGUUUCUUUAUUUGGAACCCCAGAGAAUUUUACACACCAAGGCAACAUACCAAAAUAAGAUUUAGGAUGGGCGGGAGAUAAGUCCUUUGUAUAGUCCAGGCUGAAUUAUCCUGUAGGAACAAGUAACCUCAAAAUCUCAGUUCCUUGAACCAGCAAAGGUUCUCUUCUCCUCCACCCCAACCCCCAACUCACGAUACAUGUCCAUCGCAGGCCAGUUGGAGGUUCUGAUUCGUGCCAUCCUCACUCAGGCAUCCAGACUCCACCAUCUGAAAUGUCAUCGGUCACCAGGGCAGAGAGAAGGAGCAAGUCACACGGGCAAUACCUAACUUCUAAAAGGUGGGGAAGGACCUGGAAGGAGGAGAACUGGAAAGCAGGUGAAUGGCACCAGGACCACCAGACCUUCCUUCUGUGAAGUGGGAGUCAAGCAUCGUGGAAAGGAAGCGAGGAGAGGCCUUCUCAGGUGUGGAACAGUACUUCUUCACGGUGUUUUCCAGAGACGGAUCCCCUUCAACACAACCCUGCCGCCUGCCCUUAGAAAAGGCUUUCUGUAUCUCUAGGGGUACAGAUGCCCAAGCCUGAAGACCACUGCUGCCCUGGCAAAGCUCCCCUACCUUUUAGGUGCAGGGACCUCUCUCUGAGCUCCUUCUGUUCUGGAACAGCUGUUUGGAAGCUUCUAGGAAUGAGUUACCUUUGAUCCAUGUGUAUCAUGUUUUCCUAACAAGCUGUAGUCUCUCAGGAUGGGAAUGAUAUCUUCAAGUUUUUAUAUCCCUUAGGUUACCUCACAAGGAUGCUCAGAAAAUAUGAGUUCUGCUUGUUGGUUGAAUUGGUCACUUUCUCUGUAUGCUUCAGUCUCCUCAUCUGUGAAACUGGAAUUGCAAGGCUUGCCCUUAUGAUUACAAUUAAGAUGACAGGAAAUCUCUGUCCACUCUCCUUUAUUUAACAAGGAUCAGCAUCUUGACACUGCACAUCUGAAAAGCUGUAUGUGAUGAUGAGCCACUGAGGGCUCUUGAGAAGCUCUGGGGAAAGCAGGUUUGGGCAGAUCAAUUUGACAUCAGUGAUUGACUGGUGGUUGGGGUACAUGGGAAACAGUUUGGGUCAAGGGCUAAGGGCAGGAGGUCCAGGUGGAAUGCUUCCCCAGUGAUACAGAGGUGAGGCAAUGGCACCCACUGGGAGGUGAGGCAGGGAAUGGCGAGCCACACUGCAUCCUCAGGAACGACCACAGAUGCCUUCCUGAACACCUACAUCUGGAUUCAAGACGGAUCUGCAACCUUGGCAGAAAUCCUCACUCCUGGCCAAAACCAAUUGUUUCCUGCACCCUGCCUCUGCCCCCUGGUGGCCUCUGGAGACAUUGCAGAUAGAGUGUCAAAACAAAGCUGAAUGCUUCUAGUUCCCCACAGGGAGACUGGAGAUUGACGUGGUACAGGGAAAGAUGACCCAAGUUGCUUCUGUAGUUAAAAAAAAAAAAAAGAAAGAAAAAAAUGGAACAAGGGACGGAUAGGAAGGGGCCUCAGAAACCUGGGUAACUGAGAACUUGGGGGCAGUUCACAAAGUGAAAACCAGAAGCAACCUUCGAUUUGCCAACCGACAGCAUAUGGACCUUGGUUUAGCCUGCAAAACAAUUUUAAAUUUUGGAUAGUUGCCAACACCUGGAAUCGUGAAUUUUCACAUUAAAAUCUUAAUGUCCAGUUUCUCUUGAAAAAUCAAAACAUCAGGUCACAUGGGGCCUCCACCCGGCUGAGGAGAAGCCCAGGCCCCUUUAGUGC
Long non-coding RNA from Bos taurus (domestic cattle), 1781 nucleotides. NCBI's taxonomy places the organism in Eukaryota, Metazoa, Chordata, Mammalia, Artiodactyla, Bovidae. The record is from Ensembl.